This 387-nucleotide ribosomal RNA is filed under the name uncultured bacterium. RNAcentral describes it as "bacterial SSU rRNA". It matches the Rfam family "Bacterial small subunit ribosomal RNA", at positions 30 to 416 of the family's 1533-position model. The record is from RNAcentral.
AUUGAACGCUGGCGGCAUGCCUUACACAUGCAAGUCGAACGGCAGCACGGACUUCGGUCUGGUGGCGAGUGGCGAACGGGUGAGUAAUGCAUCGGAAUGUGCCAUUGAGUGGGGGAUAACGUAGCGAAAGUUGCGCUAAUACCGCAUAUUCUGUGAGCAGGAAAGCAGGGGGACCGCAAGGCCUUGCGCUCUUUGAGCGGCCGAUGUCAGAUUAGCUAGUUGGUGAGGUAAAGGCUUACCAAGGCGACGAUCUGUAGCGGGUCUGAGAGGAUGAUCCGCCACACUGGAACUGAGACACGGUCCAGACUCCUACGGGAGGCAGCAGUGGGGAAUUUUGGACAAUGGGGGCAACCCUGAUCCAGCCAUGCCGCGUGAGUGAAGAAGGCC